UCUGGUAGCAAUGAUGAAUGUUCUGGCAUCUUGGGAAAGCAUCUGGCACUGAUGAGGACAAAAUUACUAAUAGACAAGUUUGCUGCUGCUGCUUCCAGCCAAGCAGACCCCAUAGUUGUGCACUUAACAGUGCAUCGUAGGGCUCCUGCUCCUUGCGGUGAUGUGUUAUGCUGGCCGGACUUUCCAACAAAUGCCAGACAAAUCAGCGGUCUGGCUGGAGUCCUCCACCGGGAAAAAUUCGCAAACCCUGGCAACAACAAAGGUGAUGAGAUGAGAUUCAGUCCAGACCCAUGACAUGCUAUUAGAUCUUCCUAAUCACCAGAGAGCAAAUCCUUACUCUGUGUACUGGACACUGUGCUAAGAACUUAAUAGACAGGGGGGCUGGGUGUGGUGGCUCACACCUGUAAUCCCAGCACUUUGGGAGGCUGAGGCAUAAGGAUCGCUUUAGCCCAGGUGUUGGAGACCAGCCCGGGCAAAAGAGUGAGACCUCGUCUCAAAAAAACCCAAACAACAACAACUAGCUGGUCAUGGUGGUGCACGCCUGAAGUCCCAGCUACCCGGUAGGCUGAGGUGGGAGGAUCACUUGAGCUUGGGAGGUGGAGGCUGCAAUGAGCCAUGACUGUGCCACUGCACUCCAGCCUAGGUGACAGAGCAAGACCCUGCCUCAAAAAAAAAAAAAAAAGAAAAAAGAAAAAGAAAAGAAAAAAUGGACAUGAUCUCACAUAUGUGAAAGAUCCCACUAUCCCCAUUUGACUGAUGAAAAUAUUAAGGUUCAGAGCAGGCAACGGACAUCCCUAACUCAUCUAGAGAUUCAGUGACAGAGUUAGAGUACUCAGGGCUCCAAAUCCCAUCUGACCAUUAACUCAAACCACCUCUGUUUAUCUCCCCCACCCCCCGCCAGUAAACACUCUCUAUUAAACACCUUGUCCACUAAAGCACCAUGCUUUCCACGAGGGACUCCUUCGUGCACAGCCAUCCUCACUCUGCAAGAACUCAUCAAAGUUUCAGUGAAUGAAUGAAUUUGGAGUGGUCAACAAGGGGUGCAUAGUUGCAACUUUAAAAUAUUGCAGGAGAGAAAUGCCACAAAACAAAAUGCACAUGGAAAAAUCACUACCUUAUUUCAAAAUAUUUACAGCUUCACAUUUAAGGCCACCCAAAGCGUGGCGGUCAGUGGUGAGAAGGCAGAGAUCACAGGCUGCUGGGGUGGGGCAUACACCAUGAUUCCCGGCCCCACUCUGGGAGACACAAGGUAUCCCACAGUCUUCUCUCCCAGUUACAUCCUCCGCGGAAACCACAGGAUGACUCGCUCAACUUUUUUUAAAGUAGAAAAAAUAUGCUUGUGUGUGUGUAAGGGGAGGAGAGGGGAUGUGAAUGAGAUGGAGGGUACUGUAAUAAUUCCUGUAGUCAUAAGACACGCCAGUUGGUAGUUGCUAGUAUUCCAGACACUUCCUAACGCCAGACAAAUGCCCCCAAGUCUCGGCGUGUCUGGCUUAGAGAUCUAUUCAACUGAUAGCAGCCGCCUCUUCUGGGGAGAGCAGAUCUUUCAGAAAGCACUGGCUACGCUGCUAAUCAAACGCAACAUUGUUCUCAGCAAGGAGGAAGAAUGGAAAGGUUUGUUUCAGAGUCACAACUUUAUUUUUUUUUUAAAGGCACCCAAGUUGUUUUAACAAGUUGCUACAAAACUUGGGCUUCCUGAGUGGAGGCUGUUUUGCACAGUGCAUGUACUGUACAAAAAUCCACGCAGGGAGGGAUCAGAAAGUUAGUCAUUAAAGAAAAAAAAAAAAAGCCCCAGGCACUUGAGGCCUGGAAAUGAUGUCAGACGCAGCCACUCCUCUGUUAGAACUACAACCAAACAAUGCGCAGGCAAUCCGCAGCAGCUGCCCCUGCAAAUGUCAGCGCCAGCCCAGUCAAAAGAGCUAGAAACCUACCAAGCCGGAGGACUGUGCUGUGCCUCUCUCGCCCACAUUUUCCCCAAACACUCUCAGGAACCUGGCAACAGGUAACGUGGCAACCUUUGACUUAUAAAAGGGCAAGUGGCACAAUCUCAGGGAACAAAUGGACUUUUUUUUAAAGCCAGCAUCUCCCCCACCACUCCCACACCCCACUCCCUCCCUCCCAACCAAAAGUAUGUAAAAAACAAAACAUUGACGCGGGCAGUCCUACUCUCGAGUGUCCCCUUGUGGCCAAGCCUGGAACAUCACAUCCGUACAUUGCAAUCUGUGGAUCAGCUACGAGGUAAGUCGCUCUUUGGAAGGGGUGGAGGUCUUUGCUGGACUUGUCUUCCGAAAAGCAUAAAGAGUGAAAGUCAAGGCUCAGAAUGGCGUGCUUUUUUACCUUAUCACCUUAACAAAAACUUCACCUUAGCUGCAGGGUUAAACCUCUGGGUUGGGGCUGGGGAUUUUCGUUGUUGUUGUUUUAAAGCAGCAGCCAAGGCCAUGUUUUUUAAGGUGGUGAGUUAAACGGAGCAAGAACUGCGGUAGCCUUUUCCACCCAAUCUCUUUCUUCACAUCCUAGUCACAACCAAGGGUAGGGUGGAUGGCAGUGAGGAUAAACAGCCCAGAAACUGAGGAUUCCUGCAGGGAGGGACUGGCAUUUUCCAUUUUUAUCUGAAGUUGUACUUUGAAUGCAGACACAUUUCUCUCAGGCCAGAAGCACUGCUCAUUUGUAUUGCUGGCUUCCAGUUAGCCUAUUUGCGAGGAUUACUUAGGAUUUCCAGACUGCAGGCCCAGCUACCCAGAGAGUGUGCCUGAAAGCCCCACCUUACCGCUUUUAUCUCUAUGUGGGGGGAAACACCCACGAAAAUGCCAACAGCAGUAUUUGUAACCUGCCUUCUUCCUUUUGGGAAUUGCUUUGUGCGGCUCUCUCUGCUUUAGAGGAAUAACUACAGCUGAGAGCGCUCUAGCCAUGCAGGAGGAGAGGGCACCCUUUGAGGAGAGGGCACCCGUUCUGUCUCCCUCUGGCUAUGUUAACUGGAAACUAGGAAAGGGGUUCAGAUCAAAGUAACUGCUCUCUUCAGAAAGUUCCAUUCAUUAACUAAAUUAGCGGAAAUUAAAUGGUGUUUGGAGGAAGGUCAUUUCAGAAGGCCCAGGGCCAGAGGCUGAGGUCUAAAACUUCUAAUCUGGACUUCUAUUGAAGUUUGGCAGUAAGUUAAACAGGAAGUUGAAGGCUACCAUAUGUAAAUCCAGUUGUUGCCUGAAAUCAGUCAUUUCAAGGGAAUAUCUUGAAAGGACACAGACUGGGAAACAGGCAUGUGAAAAAAAAAAAAAAGUAGACAUUUGGCUAGUAUGUGCCUAGACCACUUAACACUAAAGAUUAGAAACCUAGGGCUCUGAGUAAGAAUCAUUUGACCAGUAGCUAAGUUGAGUCAUAGCCUGCACAGAACUAGGGCACACAUGUUGAAGUCAGGAUGUUGAGAACAUCAGGCUUACUAAUUUGCAAGGCAGGAGUGUUGCUUCCAGUAGGGAAUGUGAUCAGGAUUUCACGGCUCAUUUUCCCAGCCUUUCCAACAGGUGCAAUCAAGUCAUCCAUGUACACAAGUGACUGCCCUGGCAGUUACAUCUGUUAGGAUUAAAUUUCCAUUUGUUCCAUUACUUUGUAUGAAGUGAUUUCUACUGUUGAGUCAGACAGAUCACUUCCUCUUAGACCUAGGGACUUUUUGCAACAUUUUUAACAAUGUGUGUGUUUUUCAAAAUGUGUCCCAGCCAGGUCUGCAGGUCUUCCUGGGUUGAAUGGACUGUUUAUAGAAGGGGAAGAUUCAGGGCCCAAGGUCAGGGUUACAGAAUUAUAUAAGGUUUCCUGUUUGGGCAGCUGGUCUAGCAACACCUCAAUUUGGGGCAGACUGGGUCUUGUUGAGAGAUAGCAUGCCCAGGAGGCUAGGGCGGGGAGAGUGCCAGGAGCAGGGAAGGACAUUUUUCUUUUCUUUUUUUUUUUUUUUUUAAGACCGUGUCUUACUGUGUCACCCAGGCUGGGGUGCAGUGGUGCGAUCUCGGCUCACUGCAACCUCCGCCUCCCAGGUUCAAACAAUUCUCCUGCCUCAGCCUCUAGUGUAGCUGGGAUUACAGGCACCCGCCACCAUGCUCAGCUAAUUUUUAUAUUUUUAAUAGAGACGGGGUUUCACCAUGUGGGCCAGGCUGAUCUUGAACUCCUGACCUUAGAUGAUCUGUCCGCCUCGGCCUCCCAAAGUGCUGGGAUUACAGGCUUGAGCCGCCAAGCCCGGCCUGACAUUUUUCUUUUAAAUCUUUCAUCAACCAGCUUUCAUUUCUUGUCAGAUGUCACUUUUCAGCAACCUGUUCCUAUAUUCUCUGUUAGGAGAACUUUUUUUUUUUUUUUUUUUGCCAGACUGAGAGAAAGGAAUUAAAGGGUGGAAGAAUUACAAGAUCAGGCACUGUUGUCUGUCUGAUCCACGGAUGUAACCACAGCACACGCGUGGCUCACAGUACUAGUGUGAUAAAUGCUUGUUACACGAAAGCAUGAACAGGGAUGAGAAGAGACUUGCUGUAGAAACAAAAAGGACUAACAAUCAGGAAAGGGAGGUGAUUGGGGCACGAGUAAAGUGAACACCUCAGCAAAGCCAUUCGCUGUGAUCUCUGAUGGUGCAGUGUCAUAUCCUGUCACCAGAGCCCCCUCGUGUUUGAUGUUGGCCAAUCCCGCCAACAUGAUCUAGCAGGCCAAAUCCUAAUCUACCGUUGUCUGACACCAGCUGGUCCCCUGGGUUGUCCACCUGAUGUCCCCCAUUCUCCCCACUUCGCCUACCCCACAGGCCCUCAGCAAAGGACCGUGGGAGGCACCUGUGACACUGCCCUUUUCCUGUGCAGCUGUUUGUCUUCUUCAUUCUUUUCACUCCUCGUUACUCUUUUUUUUUUCAUGCUCAGCCCACACAGAACUAGGAACUUUGUUAUUCUACUUAUUUUUCUGUAUUCCGCUUGCACACAGAUGGAUAUCUGAGAGCCAGCGAACUUUCUUUAUCUCCUAAUAUCAUUUCAUGAGAAUUAGUAGCACCUGCACAAUGGGGCCUUGGAGACAGGAAUAAAAGGAAAAAUCUGGAAUGGAAUCACAUGAUGCAACAGGCUAUGAAGUCUCCCUGCCCGGCUGCUGUAUGUCUGAUAAACAGAAUAAAUAGCACUUGAGCAUCCCUGACCCUGAGACUGCGGAGUAGCUGGUUGUUGCUAGAUGGGACCAGGGUAUCGUGCACUUAUUGCCAAUUCAUCUUGCUUCAGUAAAUGGGGUGGCUGUGCUGAGUGAGUGGCCUGUGUAUGAACCAGGGUCCAUCCCAUCUAAUGAGAGCCCGGUCAGGCUGAGUCCUCACCAAGACUUGAGCGUGGAUUCAUCAGUAACCUUGGUUCACCGGCAGGCUCGCUGGACUUUGGAGAAAAGGCUGACCCUCCACCAAAGCAGCCCACUGCUUCCACCGCUCUAGGAACAGAGGGCCUGGAGCCAGGGCUUGACCUGGCACAGGAGCUUUUUCACAAGGCCUGCUCAAACCUCCAAACCUGGGAAAACAGGAUGCAUGGUGAAGAAGAAAGAAAAUGCAUCCACCAUUCCUUCCUGUUGGUGUCAGCACGAUGAGGAAUAAUUACCUGGAUCUGGAAAGCAGGCGUGUGGGAGACUGCAGGCCCCCCUGGUCUGUGUAGUUAGGCACUUAAUUUUUCAUCCUCCUCCUUUUCUCUGCCCUCCCGAAACCCCCAUUUUCAAAGGAAAAACAGAAAAACGUAUCUGGGUUAACCUGUGUAAUACUGUUUACAUCAGUCCACUUGGCCCAGAAAGGAUACCAGCUCCUUACUGAUGCUCAGAUAACAGGGUUAGUGCUUAAAAAAAUUAUGCCUUGGGCCGGGCGCGGUGACUCACGCCUAUAAUCCCAGCACUUUGGGAGACCGAGGUGGGCGGAUCACAAGGUCAAGAGAUCAAGACCAUCCUGGCCAACCAACAUAGUGAACCCGUCUCUACUAAAAAUACAAAAGUUAGCUGGGUAUAGUGGCGCACGCUUGUAGUCCCAGCUGCUCGGGAGGCUGAGGCAGGAGAGUCGUUUGGGCCUGGCAGGUGGAGGUUGCAGUGAGCUGAGAUUGCGCCACACUGCACUCCAGCCCAGGCAGUGGAGUGAGUCUCCAUCUCAAAAAAAAAAAAAAAUUCUGCCUCGUUUAUUAUCCAACUUUGUCACUGAUAGAGAAGGACACAGAUCCAGAGAAGAACUUGUCCAGGCAACCCCAGGGCUCUUUCCCCGUCCAUUACUUUUUUUUUUUUUUUUUGAGCCCGAGUCUGGCUCUGUCACCCAGGCUGGAGUACAGUGUCACAAUCUUGGCUCACUGCAUCCUCUGCCUCCUGGGUUCAAGCUAUUCUCCUGACUCAGCCUCCCUAGUAGCUGGGAUUACACGUGCGUGCCACCCUGCCCAGCUAAUUUUUGUAUUUUUAGUAGAGAUGAGGUUUUAACUUGUUAGCCAGGCCAGUCUUUUUUUUUUUUUUUUUUUUUUGAGACGGAGUCUCGCUCCGUCGCCCAGGCUGGAGUGCAGUGGCGCAAUCUCGGCUCACUGCAAGCUCCCCCUCCCGGGUUCACGCCAUUCUCCUGCCUCAGCCUCUCCGAGUAGCUGGGACUACAGGCGCCCGCCACCACGCCCGGCUAAUUUUUUCUAUUUUUUAGUAGAGACGGGGUUUCACCAUGGUCUCGAUCUCCUGACCUCAUGAUCCGCCCGCCUCGGCCUCCCAAAGUGCUGGGAUUACAAGCGUGAGCCACCGCGCCCGGCCAAGCCAGGCCAGUCUUGAACUCCUGACGUCAAGCGAUCUGCCUGCCUUGGCCUCCCAAAGUGCUGGGAUUAUGGGCGUGAGCCACCGUGCCCGGUCCCCUCCAUUACUCCUUAAGUGUCCCUUAAAGACUGUAUUUAUUUAUUUGAAACAGAGCUUUGCUCUGUCACCCAGGCUGCUGUGCAGUGGCGUGAUCUUGGCUCACUGCAAGCUUCUGCCUCAGCCUCCUGAGUACCUGAGACUACAGGUGGACGCCACCACACCCAGCUAACGUUUGUCUUUUUGGUAGAGAUGGGGUUUCACCAUGUUGGCCAGGCUGGUCUCGAACUCCUGAUCUCAAGUGAUCUGCCCGCUUCAGCCUCCCAAAGUGCUGGGAUUACAGGCGUGAGCCACUGUGCCCAGCAAAGACUGCAUUUAAAAUACUACCUUUCUGUUAGGUACUUGUCAUUUGCCAAAAUUAAAUAAAAACAAUCUAGGAACCUAGGAACUUGUGAAGUCAGUACUAAAAUCUAUACCAAUUUACUCUACAAAUCCCCAUCCUCCUCCUCGUUGGCUGAGUGUUUAAUAAAGCCAGGUACUUUACCUAUAGGCUCAUCAAAUUAAAAACAACCCUGCAUAGGAAGUCAGGAUCUUGCAGAUGAAAAGGAGGCUCAUCUGGGCAUGCCCAGCAAGGUCUGGGGAACGCCCCUUAAUGCAGUACUUGAAUUUGUCUGCAGGGAGAGGUGGCAUCCCCGCACUGUAAAUAGUUUCCAAGGUCAAGUUUGGCUAGUGGCUUUUAGAAUUGUGGCAGAAGGAUGCCAUCCUACUGCCACCUGCAGAGGCAUCUCAGGUUCUGGAGCUCUGUGCUAACUAAGCCCACCUGUGAAGGGUGGCAAUGGAGUGGUGACAGGUGUGCAAGGAAAAGACAGCUCCAAGGACAGAGUUGUUUGUUUUGUUUUUUGAGACAGAGUCUCACUCUUGUCAGGCUAGAGUGUAGUGGCGUGAUCUCGGCUCACUGCAACCUCCACCUCCUGGGUUCAAGCGAUUCCCCUGCCUCAGCCUCCCGAGUAGCUGGGACUACAGGAGGGCACCACCACGCCCGGCUAAUUUUGGUAUUUUUAGUAGAGAUGUAGUUUCACCAUGUGGGCCAGGAUGGUCUCCAUCUCUUGACCUUGUGAUCCGCCCACCUUGGCCUCCCAAAAUGUUGGGAUUACAGGCAUGAGCCACCACUCCCAGCCAAUUUUUUUUUUUUUUUUUUAAAGAGACAGGGUCUCGCUCUGUUGCCCGGGCUGGAGUGCAGUGGUGUGAUCAUGGCUCACUACAUCUUCUAACUCCUGGGCUCAAGCGAUCCUCCCACUUUAGCCUCCAGAAUAGCUGGAACCACAAGCGCACACCACCACAUCCAGCUAAUUUUUAAAAAACUGGGCCGGGCGCGGUGGCUCACGCUUGUAAUCCCAGCACUUUGGGAGGCCGAGGCGGGCAGAUCACGAGGGCAGGAGAUCGAGACCACGGUGAAACCCCGUCUCUACUAAAAAUACAAAAAAAAUUAGCCGGGCGUGGUGGCGGGCGCUUGUAGUCCCAGCUACUCGGAGAGGCUGAGGCAGGAGAAUGGCGUGAACCCAGGAGGCGGAGCUUGCAGUGAGCCGAGAUCGCGCCACUGCACUCCAGCCUGGGCGACAGAGCGAGACUCUGUCUCAAAAAAAAAAAAAAAAAAAAAAACUGUUUGUAAAGACAGGGUCUCACUAUGUUGCCCAGGGUCAAGGUCAGAUUUGUUAAUCCUCCUGACAUUGUCUCCUGUUGGAGUUCUGGGUGUUCAUUAGUUCAUCACCAUGCGUGUGAUUCACACGCUGUACUCAGAAACAUUCUUUUUUUUGGUUUUUGGGUUUUUUUUUGAGAUGGAGUUUCCCUCUUGUCGCCCAGGCUGGAGUGCAAUGGCACGCACGAUCUCGGCUCACUGCAACCUCCACCUCCCAGGUUCAAGCAAUUCUCCUGCCUCAGCCUCCCGAGUAGCUAGGAUUACAAGUGUGUGCCACCACUCCCAGCUUAUUUUUGUAUUAGUAGAGACGGGGUUUCACCACGUUGGCCAGGCUGGUCUCGAACUCCUGACCUCAGGUGAUCCACCCGACUCAGCCUCCCAAAGUGCUGGGUUUACAGGUGUGAGCCACUGCGCCCGGCCCAGAAUGGAGUAAUCUGAUGUGGUCUUAUAGAUAAACACUUCACGUUUGCAAGGGUGUGUGUGUGUGUGUGUGUGUGUGUUUUAACUCAUCUUUUCCAUUCUCUUCCCCACCCCUCCUUUCCCAUCUGCUACCCUCAGGCUACAGUUCGACUUCACAGAUAGAAAAAUAAAUAAAACCUACGGCUGGGCAUGGUGGUUCAUGCCUGUAAUCCCAGCACUUUGGGAGGCCGAGGCGGGCCAAUCAUUUGAGGUCGGGAAUUUGAGACCAGCCUGACCAACAUGGUGAAACCCUGUCUCUACCAAAAAUUCAAAUAAAUUAGUCAGUCGUGGUGGCCCACCCCAGUAAUCCCAACUACUUGGAAGGCUGAGGCAGGAGAAUCGAUUGAACCGAGGAAGCGGAGGUUGCAGUGAGCUCAGAUCACGCCACUGCACUCCAGCCUGGGUGACAGAGCGAGACUCCGUCUCAAAAAAAAAAAAAAAAAAAUUAGCUGGGCGUGGUGGCGAGUGCCUGUAAUCCCAGCUACUCAGGAGGCUGAGGCAGGCGAAUCGCUUGAACCGGGGAGGCGGAGAUUGCAGUGAGUGGAGAUCGGGCCCCUGCACUCCAGCCUGGGCUACAGUGCGAGACUCCUUCUCAAAUGAAUGAAUAAAUAAAUAAAUAAAUAAAGCCUACAUUAUUUACCUCGGCCUACUAUAAUUUUGCACUACAGGGUGGCAGCUCCAUGCUAGGUACAAGCCGGGUGCCAUGCUGCUUUGAUGCUGCCCAGGACACUGGCCUAAAAGUGUGUCUGCAAGUGCUCUCUUCAUUCAUUCAAGCUCUGCCUAGUACACACUUUUUGGAAACCAUUUCCCAAAAUGCGUGUUCUUAUACCACAUUUCCCACACACCAGAUAACCAAGACAGUGCACGUAACAUAGUUUGAAUUAAAGAAUAAUCUUGUUUUGGCCGGGCGCGGUGGGUCACGCCUGUAAUCCCAGCACUUUGGGAGGCCGAGGUGGGCAGAUCAUGAGGUCAGGAGAUCGAGACCAUCCUGGCUAACACAGUGAAAUCCCGUCUCUACUAAAAAUACAAAAAAUUAGCCAGGCGUGGUGACGGGCGCCUGUAGUCCCAGCUACGCGGGAGCUGAGGCAGGAGAAUGGCGUGAACCCGGGAGGUGGAGCUUGCAGUGAGCCGAGAUCGCGCCACGGCUCUCCAGCCUGGGCCACAGAGCGAGACUCCAUCCAAAAAAAAAAAGAAGAAACUUGUGUUGGUAGACAAAUAAGUUAAUGAACUGCAGAUAUAAAUAGAUCGAGCACUAGAUAUGUUUAUUAUCUCAAGCACAGCACUGCCUCCCGGUGCGGAUUAUAUUCCAGUUUUCGAAAGGAACCAUAGAAGGUACAAGCAAUACGAUUUUAUUUUGGAGGGAUUUCUAGCAUCAUAGGUCAAAGAUGUUAUUAAGUAUCAACUCUGAAAAAGCAACUAUAAAUACUGCAAAUCGACUAAACCAGAGGACACAAAUAUAUCCUGCGUGUUGUGUGCUGGACUGUGGUUGAGACUUCAUGCUCGUGCUCUGGGCUCAUGGGGGCAGCUGACUGCUCAUAAUUAAGAUUGCUGUUGCCGCUGCCUGUGUUCCAAAGAGAACACAAGAGGACAGAGCUAAGGUGUAGGAAUGUGGAAAAACUUGCAGAAACUAGAGCUAGUCUUCAGAUUGAAAUGAAUUACCAAUAAAGGGCUGGGAAAUGGAUCAAGGGGAGGGAAGCGUUCUGAUGGCCCCUGCUCCGAGGUUCAGCCCAUUUGCAGUUGCUGAUAACCUUGUCAGGUCACCAGAUAAAGGCAAGUCUUGUCACCCUCAGGCACCUGGCUGCGAAGUAAUAAAACAGUUGCCUUAUCAUCUAAAGGUGGAGUUAGUCAAACCUCAGCCCAGGGUAAUUAUAGUAAACUGAAAUUGCCUGUCCUUUACAACAAAAAAAGGGGGAGGGAGAGAGAAAGGAAAAGGGCUUAAGGCAGGAAAUUGUGUUUGUCUUUCUCCUGGGAUUUAAAAAAGAAACGAGCAAAACAGCAAGAAGUUUUCCAGGGAGUGAGAAAAACAGCCCGGCUAGACUCCCCUCACCCUGGGUUAACAGGAUUGCUGACAGAUCAGGCCCACGUGAUGGUCAAGAAAAGAGGCUCAAGCUGAUGAAAAUCCAAGAAAUCUUCUUAGGAGCCUUCCUUUCUAAAUGUAAAUGACUGAGUCAUUGCUUUGCUAAGGAGGGAAGGAAGUUACAAUCACACCAAGUGACUCAUUCAUUGCUGUUAGCUCCGGCAGUUGGAUAAAAAGUUUUAGCAAAAGCAGCAACAAAUGUACUUUAAAUACUAGCACAGUAAGGGAAUUCCUCUCUUUCAGGAUGAAUGCCAUCCACACAAAAGAGCUCCUGUUGACAUCUCAUUUACAAUCUCCCCCAGGACACAGACAAGACCCUUUCAAUAAACCCAGCUCAGAAACACCUAUUGUUCAAAAUCUUCAACUCACCACAGGCUACCACCACUCCCUAUGGCUUUGCAAAAUUAAAGAUUUAGAAGGAUGGGGACGGUGGAAGCUAUGAAAAGAGGCAGGAAAAAAGUCCCUUUGACCCGAUGCUGUCAGAGAGCGUGCAUGAAGAAGAAAGUUAAUGGUAUUUCCAUUUAUAUAAGAAGCGCCUAAGAAAUGCCUGUGACGUUCAUGAACUAGUGAUUGUGAAUUCCAAAUUUGAUGCCAACUUUAUGUGUAAAGAAGCUAACUCCUGCCAACAUCGUGGCUGAAUGAACAGCUGGGGCUAUGCUUAACCCAUUCCCAGCUUACAAAAGCCCCAUGGCAGCUGCAGCGAAGCAUCAGGUGAGUCUGAUAUGCGCUGUCUGUUUCCUCAGGGAUUUGAAGCUUGCCUGUCCUUUCCAAGUGGAAUCUUGUGCCUAAGCGCUAGAGCCCACUCCUCUCCACUGAUUCCCUUCUUUCCAUUUCUGCCAUUUGCCUUCUUCUUUUAAUAAAACUUGGACAUUUUCUGGAGUUAUAUGUUUUUCUUGGGAUGUACUUCAAAUUAAGGAGCAUAUUUAUGUUUACACACACACACACACACACACACACACACACACACAAGAAUCGGGCAUUUCUCAAGUGGUGAUACCUUUACCCUCCUUAUUUUUCACUUACGGUUCCCCAUCUCAGUACACGAUCCCUUUGCCUGCCCCGAGUUCAAGCCAAAACUCAGCAUUAUCUGUAAGCACUCUUUUGGCUCCUUCUCUCCGAUCUCUUAAAUCCCUGUGGAGUCAUUCCACAUCCUUCUGUGCAUCUUUCUGCUUCCCUAGAUCCUACAGUUUUAAUGUUCUCUUCUGGAGUAUCACAGCAACUUCCUUAACUCAAGGUUUCUCCAACUCUGAGUUGUCACUUAAUGGGUAGUGAAAUCAGAUGAGUCAUGCAGUUUCACCAUUUAGAAAAUGCAAAAGGUUAGGUAGAAAAUGUCAGCGUACAUCCUGUGUAGAAAAAGUAAGUCUUGUUGUGAAACUUCUUUCAGUUUGUGUGUGCGUGUCCCCGGAUCUGUGUACAUACUGGGCAACAGGGAAAAUGCAUUUUGUAGGUCAAAAUAUUUGGAGAAAUACUUUUCUACUUAGUCUCACUGGGUCUGUUUUUCUCUGUUUCCAAACUAUUGCGUACACUUAGAGGAAGAGUGGAAACUCUCCAGCAGGUCCUGUCAGUCUGCAGUUUACAAAUCUGCCCUCAGGAUAGGAGUUCCUGCUCACCAUUUUCAGGUCUCAGAAUUCUGCCUCCUCCUGACCACUUUUCCUUUAGUUAUUCGACCCAUCAAGUUCCCUAGGUUUGCAUGUGCAAUCGAUUCCUCGUUAGGGAUAUUCUUUCCUCUGGUUUUUCCUUCAGAUAUGAGCUUAUGUUUGACCUCUUCCAAGAAGACAUCAGGAAUGUCCUUCUGAAUGCCUUUCCUAGUUCUCAUGAGAACACAGCAGUUUUUAAUCAGGCAGAGCACUUAUUACAUUAUAAUUAUCUUCUUGGUUCCCAACUGAACUUUUAAGUUCCAAGUGGGCAGUCAGUAAAUAUUUAUUGGUGCAUUAAAUGCUCCACAUUUUACACAGUUCACGUUUGCUUCCUACAAACCAAUUUGGAUAGUUAUUUUAAAGUAUCUUAUCUCUAGUUCUCAAAGCUUUGGUUUCCUUUAACACUUAAAUAUCUCUUGCAUAUUUUCUUUUCAAACACUGCUUGGUUAAUUUGCAAAUUCAUUGGACUCCUUUCCUUAAAAAUCAAAAUAAUAAAACUUCAAGAAAGCUGUUUGACUUCUGGCCAGUUAGUCACCCUCUCUGAAUGUCAGAUCUGUAAACAGGAAGGGCAGAAUUCUGAUCUCUAAAAUCCUCUCCAGUCCACUACUCUGACCCUCUAACUUGAGCUUUCUCCAGAGAGGUUAAGUGACUUUUCCAAGGUCACGCAGCUUUUUAGCGGCAGGAGAUUUUUUGCCUGUCCAUAGAUUUUUUUUUUUUUUUUUUUGAGACGGAGCCUCGCUCUGUCACCCAGGCUGGAGUGCAGUGGCGCGAUCUCGGCUCACCGCAGGCUCCGCCUCCCGGGUUCACGCCAUUCUCCUGCCUCAGCCUCUCCGAGUAGCGGGGACUACACGCGCCCGCCACCACGCCCGGCUAAUUUUUUUGUAUUUUUAGUAGAGACGGGGUUUCACCGUGGUCUCGGUCUCCUGACCUCGUGAUCCGCCCGCCUCGGCCUCCCCAAAAUGCUGGGAUUACAAGCGUGAGCCACCGCGCCCGGCCGCCUGUCUAUAGAUUUUUAAAAGCUAGCAGUAAACAAAACCCAAAAAGUUUACCGCGGAAACGGAGUGCCACGAACAAGUUUGUGUGAAAGAGAAUUCAUGAAGAAAUAGGAGACUUCAAACAAAACACUAAAAUCAACAACCACCAUAAUGGAUUCCUGCCUAGGCAGGUCUGGACAUUAAGAAAAGAAAGGUCUCGCUGUGGUUUGCUAUUAGAUGCAGAGAUAUUCAGAUUUCAUUUUCAAAAUGAAAGUGAAAGAUUAAAGAAUUUUGGCAUCCUGACCCUUUGUAGAGGCCAUUCCUCAGAGGCACAGUGUGCAGACAAAACUAUCCUAGAGGUGCCAACCAAAACAAGCUAAAGUCUGUCUCAUUCCUGAGCCCUGGUGCCUUGACCAGUAACUACGCUCAGGAAGAAAGCUGCAACUCGCCAGAAUGAAAUGUGGCCCCGGUUCUUAUAACCCUUACCCCCUUCCUUCCCCUGCCAGAACCACACUAAAGAAUUCGCUGCUCUCAAAGACAGACUUUUUCAUUACUUCCUUACAUUAUAGAGUUUGGGCUUAGAUAACCAGUUGUAUGAGUAGCAAGUCAGAAAUACAACAGCAGUAAUACUUAUUUCUUUGCUUAAUGUAAUAUGUUGUACUUCAUAAGCCACCAUAUGCAUUUGUUGCUUUUCCCCCUUCUACACUGACAAGCAGUUUUGCUUUGUUUGACAGAAAAGUAUGGUAAGAAGAAACUGAAUUUGAAGUGGAUUCUUACAAAGGAAAAAGAAAAUCACUAUUGUAACUGUAUACCAAAUUACUAUGUAUGUGAGGUCCCAACUUUGACAUCAAGUCAUUACAGCCAGGGGAUGCUGGAACUGUGGCUGCCAUCGGGGGACCACAGAAAGUACUGGCCUAAGAACAGCUCAGCUGGGCGCGGUGGCUCACGCCUGUAAUCCCAGCAUUUUGGGAGGAGGAGGCAGGCAGAUCACCUGCGGUCGGGAGUUCAAGACCAGCCUGAUCAACAUGGAGAAGCCCUGUCUCUACUAAAAACACAAAAUUAGCCGGGUGUGGUGGCGCAUGCCUGUAAUCCCAGCUACUGGGGAGGCUGAGGCAGGAGAAUUGCCUGAAUCCAGGAGGUGGAGGUUACAGUGAGUGGAGAUGGCGCCACUGCACUCCAGUCUGGGCAAUGAGAGUGAAACUCCAUCUCAAAAAAAAAAAAAAAGAUGAGCUCACACUGGGGAUGACGGGUGGAAGAAAGGCCAGCUGUCAUGAACUUGCUGGUUUUGGUAAAUUCAUUGCCUGCCCUACCUUUGGACCUGGUAUUGUUUGAGAAAAUAAAUUAUUUUGCCAUCUUAGUCAUUUUGAUUUUAUUUUUUAAGUUGCAUUUGUUUGCUUAUUGAUUUGAUUGGCUUGGCACUUACGCAGUGACUUUGUAGAUGCUGUCUAUGUGUUGGGGCUCAGAACAUGAUGCCCUAAAAUAUGGUGACUUGGCAAUUGAGAAAACUGAAGGAGCAAGAAGGUCACUCACUGUGAGAGCUGGCCAUGAGGGAAUGCUCUGACCUAUCUUUGUCUGAAAGUAGGUCAUAAGAUGCUCAUUCCAGAGGGGUCUCGCGCUAUACCCAGAGGCAAAGAAGAAGGAACAGACAGCUCUUGCCCUACUGGCCCCCAGUUGUUUGUUACCGUUAGAUAAUAAAUUUAUUCUAUUUGAAAUCUGAAAUACUCCAAAGUCUGAAACUUUUCAUUUUUUUGAGACAGAGUCUUGCUCUGUCACCCAGGCUGGAGUGUAGUGCACAAUCUCGGCUCACUGCAACCUCCACCUCCCAGGUUCAAUGAUUCUCCUGCCUCAGCCUCCCAAGUAGCUGGGAUUACAGGCAUGUGCCACCAUGCCUGGCUAAUUUUUAUACUUUUAGUAGAGACAGGGUUUCACUAUGUUGGCCAUGUUGGUCUCGAACUCCUGAACUCAAGUGAGCCUCAGCCUCCCAAAGUGCUGGGAUUACGGGCAUGAGCUGCUGCACCCGGCCUGAUCUGUAAUACUCACCCCUGCAGUGUCCUCAGCCUCUCCUGCCUCAGCUUCCCAAGUAGCUGGGACUGCAGGUGUGCACCACCACCACCAGCCAAUUUUUAAACAUUUUUUUGUAGAGAUAUGGUCUCACUAUGUUGCCCAGGCUAGUCUCAAAUUCCUGGGCUCAAGUGAUCCUCCCACCUUGGCCUCCCAAAGUACGGGGAUUUGAGGUGUGAUCCACCUCACCCGGGCCUGAGUCUUCCUUUGGAAGGCUGCUGUAUCAUGUGAAACUUAUGUUAAAUAAAUUUGCUUAUUUUUCUGUUAUUAAUCUGUCUUCUGUGAUAGGAGUCUCAGCCAUGAACCGAGCGAUGGGUGUGGAAUAGAUAUUUCUUCCACAAGCUGGAAAAGGCUGUGUCUGCCUGGUGCAAAUCCUGACCUGCCAAUUACAAGCUAAGUGACUUUACACUAUUAAAUCAUCUUUUCCUCAGUUUCCUCAUCUGUUCAGUUAGGGUAACAGCACCUAUCUCAUAGUGUGAUGAGGCGAGUGAAAAAGUUAAUGUAGUGAAAGGGGAUAGAGUGUUCCACUUACCCUGUGACAUAUAGGAAGUAGGUGCUCUUCUUUUUUCUUUCCUUGCUAGAUUAUGUGAUGCAACAAAAUUCAAAUAUGAAAACCAUCUUGGAGGCCGGGCGUGGUGGCUCACGCCUUUAAUCCCAGCACUUUGGGAGGCUGAGGCGGGUGGAUCAUUUGAGGUCAGAAGUUCAAGAACGGCCUGGCCAACAUGGUGAAACCCCGUCUCUACUAAAAAUACAAAAAUUAACUGGGCGUGGUGGUGCAUGCCUGUAAUCCCAGCUACUUGGGAGGCUGAGGCAUGACAAUGGCUUGAGCCUGGGAGGUGGAAGUUGUGGUGGGCCAAGAUCGCCCCACUGUACUCCAGCCUGGGCUACAGAGACACUGUCUCAAAACCGUCUUGGAAACUCCCUGAGGGUUCUUUUUUGAGGGGGAAAGCUCGUACUUCUAAGAUGCUUUGGUUCCUACUGCAUGAAGAGCCCUGCAAUGAGUGUGUGUGAAUGCAGAUGUUGAGAUGCCUUUUCCUAGUGCUUAAUAUUAAAAAUUAAUCUCGGCCGGGCACGAUGCCUCACACCUGUAAUCCCAGCACUUUAGGAGGCUGAGGGGCGGAUCACCUGAGGUCGAGAGUUCGAGACCAGCCUGGCCAACAUGGAGAAACUCCAUCUCUACUAAAAAUACAAAAAAUUAGCCAGGCAUGGUGGCACAUGCCUGUAAUCCCAGCUACUCGGGAGGCUGAGGCAGGAGAAUUGCUUGAACCUGGGAGGCGGAGGUUGCAGUGAGCCGAGAUCACGCCAUUGUUCUCCAGCCUGGGCAACAAGAACAAGACUGUCUCAAAAAUAAAAUAAAAAAUUGUUUAAAAAAAUAAAAAUUCAUCUCAUCACUGUUCUCAAUUCAUAUGUCCUCUCCUUCGAGAGGGCUUUAAAAAAAACUAAAAAUAUUUUACCUCAAAAUAUACUUCUUUGGCAUAUUUUUGAGAUGGCUGUUCAGAAGGCCCACAGCCCUGCCAAGUUGCCAUUUGUGGAGGAGACGUACAUCUGCAGAGAAAAUCUGCAGCAAUGAAAUAAACAGCCAGGCUUUCUCUGAGGCCCUCCGCCUAUCCAGACCUAGGAGAGAUAAACUGAGUCUGACACCUUUGAAAAUCUGAUAGAGAAACACUUAACCACAGACUACCUUCUGUUCUCUCUGAGGACUGCUACCUGUGAGAUUUAACCCACCUGUGCCCUCACCUUCCCUCUCCCCUCCCUGCCAUAACCUAUCUUGCCAUGCUCUGAGUCCCUACUCCUCAGUAACAUCAAGAUGGUAUAAAAGCAUUAACUCAGCCAGGCGCAGUAGCUCACGCCUGUAAUCCUAGCACUUUGGGAGGACAAGGUGGGCAGAUCACUUGAGCCCAGAAGUUCAAGACCAGCCUGGCCUGCAUGGCGAAAUGCUGUCUACUAAAAAUACGAAAAAAAAAAUAGCCAGAUGUGGUGGCACAUGCCUGUAAUCCCAGCUACUUGGGAGGCUGAGGCAGGAGAAUCGCUUGAACCCAGGAGAUGGAGGCUGCAGUGAGCUGAGAUCAUGCCACUGCACUCCAGCCUGGGCGACAGUGAGACUCUGUCCCUCAAAAAAAUAAAAAAAGAUGGUAUAAAAGUAUUAACUGUAUGGUCUUUUUUCUUUUUUUUGGAGUUUUCAUAUGUAUCUUUUUCCUAUGGCAGAAGAGUUUUCAUAAUUUGUAUGACUCAUGCACAUAUGUGCACGUUAGUGAAAUUUGUAUGCCAGCCAGGUGUGGCAUAAGCCUGUAGUCUCAGUUACUCAGAGGCUGAGGCGGGAGGAUUGCUUGAGCCCAGGAGGUUGAGGCUGCUGUAAGCUAUGAUGGCACCACUGCACUCUACCCUGGGCGAUAGAGCAAGACCCUGUCUUUAAAAAAAAAAAAAAGUGUAUACUUUUUUUUCCGGUUAAUUUACUGUUUGUUUUAUAGACUCAAAUUAUCAAGGCUUCAGGGGGAAAAUGUAAACUUCCCUACAGCUCCCUUGAUCACCCAGCUUAGAGCAGCCUCACACCCUCCCAUCCCAGGCCCGCAGCCCCCUAACUGAUUUGAGAUGCCUGGAGAAAAUAAAAUUGCUGCUCCAUCUUUUUAAACUAGAAGUGUUGGGGUGGGGGCAGUGCAAAGUUGCGGCUUGCUCAUUCAACCCCGUCCUGACCAGCUCUAGCACUGCACCCGCCCCAGCCCUUCAGCCUUCCAAUGGCAGCUGUCUCCAGAUUCUCUACAUUUCUAGUUAGCAGCCUUCACUCUCCCCAUGACCAAGACCCCACGAAGUCUUUCCAAAGCCCCUGCUUGUCAUUUCUGUUAACACGUCCCCGCCUCCCACCUCGAAAUUACAUAGCAGGACCGGAUGCAGCCCCUGCUUCCUUGCACCUUGGAAAAUGGCAGAAAUUACCACGCAUUUCUCAGGGCUUGUAGGGUGGACCCCUGCCAGUGGUUUCAAACCUUUUCCAUACCUUCUCGAUCACCCUCCAGUUCAGAAAAGACAAAAAGGAAACCCCAAGGAAAAUCAAAACAAAAAAACCUACAAGUAUGUUUCCCUUUGCCUCCAUAGUCAGCACUGAUGAUUUCCAGCUGGGGUGGACAGCAGGGUGUGGAUGGGACCAAGUCCUGUUGCCAAGUUCAAGUACUUGAGAAUUUAACAUCCCAGACCCUCUCCAAGCUCUGCUACAGGCCCCUCAACUAUAUUUCCCUAGCUUACCAUGGUAACAAGCCAGAGGACUAGCCCUAAGUGUAUCCACUUACAUGACUAAAGCUCUAUCAAAUGAACAAAUAAUUCCCUUUGCUUUUCAUGCCUGAAAGGCAAUAUUCUAUGAUGUUUAAGAAUAUGGCACAGUUCUGUCGUCCCAGCUGCUUGGAAGGCUGAGGUGGGAUGAUUGAUUGAGCCCAGGAGUUUGAGUCCAGCCUGGGCAACAUAGCAAGAUCCGAUCUCAAAAUAUUAAAAAAUAAUGUAAGUUUUGGGGGCAGACCUUGAUUUAAAAGUGUGUUACCUAGGGAAGGUUGCUUAAUCUCUAUAAACAUCUGGUUUUUAUAGUCUAAAAUGAGGGUAAGAAUGAAAAACUUCCUUACAGGGUUGUUGAGAGGCUGAAAGGAAGUAAUGUAUGGGAAAUGUUCAGUGUAUUAACUCAGUAAACGGCAUACAGCAACAACAGCAUCAACAGUUCCAUAAGGGGAAUCCCUUCAUUUUGACCAGGGGACCCGUGGCCCUUGUGAAAGGUCUGAGAACAUCUGAAGCUAACUUCUACACCAACGUGGUCAGAUGAUGCCAUCCCGUAUCCAUGGCAACCAGAUGUCUCUAGUAUCUAGUUUAGUGCCAGGCGGGUGGUGUGCAAUGAAACAACGGAAUCACAGGCUGCAACUCUGCUGUUCAGUUCAUUCGUUAGUGGAACCCCUGUAACACACUCAGAAUUCUGAGUUCAUAGGACCUUUGAAUUACAGUUUCAUAAAAGAAGUUCUGAAACAUUGACCAUCUCAUACACAUUUUUUAGUUAUUCCCAGAUGGUUGUUGAUGUAAAAAUCAACCAAAACCUUUGUGUUAGAUGUAUCUUCAAGUCUAUCACAAUAGGUUAGUCCAUUUCCUUUUUUUUUUUUUUUUUUGAGAUGGAGUUUUUGCUCUUGUCACUCAGCUGGAGUGCAAUGGUGCAAUCUCGGCUCACUGCAACCUCUGCCUCCUGCGUUCAGGCGAUUCUCCUGCCUCAGCUCCUGAGUAGCUGGGAUUACAGGCACCUGCCACCAUGCCCGGCUAAUUUUUUUGUAUUUUUAGUAGAGAUGGGGUUUCACCAUGUUGGUUAGUCUUGAACUCCUGACUUCAGGUGGUCCACCCGCCUCAGCUUCCCAAAGUGCUGGGAUUACAGGCACGAGCCACCACGCCUGGCCUUUUAGUCCAUUUUCUAUUGCUAAUGUAAGAGGAAUUAGAUUAGGAAGUAGGUUUUUGAAGACAAAUUUUCAGCUUACAUGAAUUGUUGGUAGCACCUCACUUCAUAAGUAAUAUUAGAUACAAAACCCUUCUCAGGAAAAAAAGUUAGCAUUCUGGAGAAAGGAGUAAAGGAAACAAUGGUUUAUUGUCUUUUGUUUUGUUUUGUUUGUUUUUCAGAGGGUCUCACUGUUGCCCAGGCUGGAGUGCAGUGGCACAAUCAUGGCUCACUGCAGCUUCGACCUCCUGGGCUCAAGUGAUCCUCCUUGCCUCAGCCUCAUUUGGAGGUGGAGCUAAAGUUGAGAGGCUGCUAACCAGCCCUCGGGAGACUGCAUUUUCCAAAAGUGGCUGCAACAAUAUCUUGCAUCUGACAUGUCGUUCUAGAACAGGUGUUCACAAACUUUUUCUGUUAAAAGCCAUCCAGCAUGUAUUUUAGGAUGUGUGGAUCAUUCACUGUCUGACCUGACUAUCACUGUGGCACAGCCCUGGGCGAUGUGUACGUGUACAGGCUUGUUUGUGUUUGAGAGGUGAGCCCAUUCGGUGGUCUGAGGGUGAUAGUUUGCCAAUCUGUGUUCUAGAACUUUGCUGCUUCCCUUCAAGAGGUAGAGUCUAGGCCAGGUGCAGUGGCUCACACCUAUAAUCCCAGCACUUUGGGAGGCUGAGGUGGGAGGAUCCCUUGAGCCCAGGAGUUUGAGACCAGCCUGGGAAACAUGGUGAAACCCCAUCUCUACAAAAAAAAAAAAAAAAAAAAUUAGCCUGGUGUGGUGGCAUGCACCUGUAGUCCCAGCUACUCCAGAGGCUGAGGUGGGAGGAUCACUUGAGCCCAGAAGGUUGAGGCUGCAGCGAGCCGUGAUUGUGCCACUUAAACCACCCUAGGCGGCAGAGGGAGACCCUGUCUCAAAAAAACAAAAAGAAACAAACAGGAAAAAAAAAAAAAGAGGUGGACUAAUUCCCUUUUCCUUGAAUCCGAGAGGUUUGUGAUUUGCCUAUAAUUAAGACAAUUGGAAGGAAGUGACACUGCAUGACCUCUGAGGCUAGAUCAGAACAGGUGAUGUAACUGUUACCAGUGAGCACAUAAGCAGCCCAGUUGUUCUGAGGCUGCCAUGCUGUAAGGAAGCCCAAGUGAGUCCAUGUGAAAGACCACCUGAAAAGCCUUGAAAGUAUAGGAGAUGCUCAGCCAGCCCCAUUUGCACCAGCCCUCACCUGGAGAGACUGCAAGCUCAGGAGAGAUGCUGAGCCAGAACUACCCCGCCGAAGCUCUCCCCAAAUUCCUGACCCCUACAGACUGAGAAAUGAUGAGAUAGAUGAUUGCUUUAAGACAUUAAGUUUUGGGGGUGAUCUGUUGCAUAGAAAGAAACAGAACAUUUUCCCCAAACUAGUGAGUGGCAGAGAUGGGAUUCAAAUCGAGGCUGGCCUGAGCCCAAUCACCUGAUCUUUCUAUUAAAAAUAAAUAAAAAAUAUUGCUGGCCAGGGGCGGUGGCUUACACCUGUAAUCCCAGCACUCUGGGAGGCCAAGGCAGGCGGAUCACCUGAGGUCAGAAGUUCAAGACUAGCCUGACCAACAUGGUGAAACCCCGUCUCUAGUAAAAAUACAAAAAAUUAGCUGGGCGUGGUGGCGGGUGCCUGUAAUCCCAGCUACUCGGGUGGCUGAGGCAGAAGAAUCGCUGGAACCCGGGAGGUGGAGGUUGCAGUGAGCUGAGAUCCCACCAUUGCACUUCAGCCUGGGAAACACGAGCGAAACUCUGUCUCAAAAAAAAAACUGCUAAGAAAUGCUGACACAGAGACACGAAGUUGCAAAAAUGCUGUUGAUAGACUUGCUCCAUGCAUGGUUGCCACAAACCCUUGAUUUGUGAAAAACACAUCUGCGAGACCUAAUAAAGAAAAGUGCAAUUGCCGGGAGUGGUAGCUCACACCUGUAAUCCCAGCGCUUUGGGAGGCCAAGGCGGGUGGAUCACCUGAGCUCAGGAGAUCGAGACCAGCCUGGGCAAAAUGCUGAAACCCCGUCACUACUAAAAAUACAAAAAAAUUAGCUGGGCAUGGUGGCAGGUGCCUGUAAUCCCAGCUACUCAGGAGAUUGAGGUAGGAGAAUUGUUUGAAACCGGGAGGCAGAGGUUGCAGUGAGCCAAGAUCGCGCCAUUGCCCUCCAGCCUGGGUGACAAAAGUGAAACUCCGUCUCAAAAGAAAGAAAGAAAGAAAGAAAGAAAGAAAGAAAGAAAGAAAAGCGCAAUUAAACAAUAUGUGCCUGUAUUUAAACCUAUAUUGGCUAGUGAGUUUGACCAGAGUCUAACAAAGGUUUAUCAAGGAAAAAUGUCAGAGAAUUCAGAUCCUGUAAGUCAAAGAUACAACCUGUUCCAGGAAGCACUUUGCAACAGCAAUUACUCUAACAAGUUACAAUUCGCAGAGUCCGGGCUUUAAGGGGCUUUGAAGAGAGAGAAACCCAUGAAUCAAUAAUAAGAUAAGGCUAUUUGGUUUGUUUCAACUUGCGGGCUGUUUGACUUCCCUAUCAAAGCCAUGCCUUGAGAAUGAAAUCAUUUCUGUCAAACAGCCCUUUCAAAGAACAUCCGAUACAAACACUCACUGGCUGCUCCUUUAUUUCCACUGUGUCCAGGGUAUGUAUGGACUUGGUGGAAUUUAGGGGAAUAGCUGUGAAUUGUGCAUCAAAUAAAUAACCUGCAGGGAGUUGGCACUGGUGACUGCUAGCCAUAAAUGUUGCUAUUUGCUUACACAGGCUAAGCCUGGGCUUUUGGAGGCUUCUUUGACCUUUUCUGCCUUUUUCCCAACCCUAACCCAACAUAGCUAUGAAAAGGCAGUUCUGGGCCAGGCGGGGUGGCUCACGCCUGUAAUCCCAGCACUUUGGGAGGCCGAGGCGGGCGGAUCACGAGGUCGGGAGUUUGAUACCAGCCUGACCAACAUGGUGAAACCCUGACUCUACUAGAAAUACAAAAAUUAGCCGGGCUUGGUGGUGUGCACCUGUAAUCCCAGCUACUCAGGAGGCUGAGGCAGGAGAAUCGCUUGAACCUGGGAGGCGGAGGUUGCAGUGAGCUGAUAUUGUACCAUUGCACUCCAGCCUAGGUGACAGAGUGAGACUUUGUCUCAAAAAACAGAACAAACAAGCAAAAAACAAACAAACAAACAAAACAGGCAGUUUUGGGUUGUAGGGCACACUUUUUCUUUUUUUUUCUGAGAUGGAGUCUCACUCCAUCACCCAGGCUUGAAUGCAGUGGCACCCGAGUAGCUGGGAUUACAGGCGCCCGCCACCACGCCCAGCUAAUUUUUUGUUUUUGUGUUUUCAGUAGAGACAGAGUUUCACCGUGUUAGCCAGGAUGGUCUUGAUCUCCUGACCUCCUGAUCCGCUCACCUCGGCCUCCCAAAGUGCUAGGAUUACAGGCGUGAGCCACGGCGCCUGGCCCCCAGAGCACACUUUUAAUGUUAACAGCUUGGCCUCCCUCUCCCAGCAUUCAUCCUCAUUGGGCCUAGUCCACCUGUUACACCAGGGAAGAAUUGAGUGAUCUUUCUUAACCUCCCAGGGUCUUAGCCCAAUGUUAUGGCCACUUGUGUCCCCCACCCCCACAACAAAUGCAUAUGUUGAAGUCCUAACUCAGAAUGUAACUGUCUUGAGAGAUAGGGUCUUUAAAGAGAUGAUUAGGCCAGGCAUGGUGGCUCAUGCCUGUAAUCCCAGCACUUUGGGAGGCCAAGACGGGCGGAUCAUGAGGUCAGGAGAUCAAGACUGUCCUGGCUAACACGGUGAAACCCCGUUUCUACUAAAAAUAAAAAAAAAUUAGCCGGGUGAAGUGGCGGGUGCCUGUAGUCCCAGCUCCCAGGAAGCUGAGGCAGGAGAAUGGUGUGAACCCGGGAAGUGGAGCUUGCAGUGAGCCGAGAUCGCGUCACUGCACUCCAGCCUGGGUGACUGAGCGAGACUCCGUCUCAAAAAAAAAAAGAGAUGAUUAAGUUAAUUGGGUCAUUAGGGUCAUAAUCCAAUAUGACUGGCGUCCUUAUAAGAAGAGAGACAGCAGGACCUACGUGCAUAGACCAAGUGAGCCACCUGCAAGCCACAGAGAGAGGCCUCAGAAGAAACUACCUUGCUGAUACCUUGAUCUCGGGCUCCCAGCUUCCAGAACUGUGAGGAAAUAAGCUUCUGUUGUUUAAGGCACCCCAUCUAUGGUGCUUAGUUAUGGCAGCCCUAGCAAACUAACACACCCACAAACAGAGAAUUCACAGCCUUAAGGCUGGGACUUCAGAAAAGUUCCAAAGGCAAUAAGCAGAAAUUUCAACAUGCAAGAGUCUAGCCUUUUAGCACAGUUUCUCUUUCUGCAUCUUUCCCAGGUGGCCUGUAGGCAGGAUCGUAAAGCAGUGCUGGGGGCUGGGCAGGGGCACUGCUGACCUGCAAGUCUAGUGGGGUCACUAAGGUCUCUUGACUCAAAAGGGAAGGGACCAGGGUUCCAGUCCUAGAAAGUCCAGAAAGUAGCAGGGAGACUGAGUAGGUGUUUGGGGCAUGGUCAAGAGGCCCAUAUUGAUGCAUGUCACUAGCCCCUUCCCUCUUCUAGCUGCCCCAGUCCUUCCUUCCCUGCUCCUCUUCCAGUCUCUUUGACUUUUCCCACCACCCCGUCCUGCGACACUGCUUUAUUAUCAGGUAAGUCAGAAGAAGGGGAAAAUUUGGCUUUACCUUCUGACUUAGCGUCAUGCAAAUCCUGAUGCUCUUUUAGUAUUUCCUUUUUCUUUUUGGUGGGAGAUAUGGGAUGGAAGCAUAUUUGCCGGAGUUGGUGUUUGUUUGUUUGUUUGUUUUUUAUUUUUUGAGAUGAGGUCUUGCUGUGUUGCCAAGGCUUAAGUGCAGUGGCUACUCAUAGACCCCAUCAUUGCACACUACAGCCUUGACCUCCUAGGCUGAAAGAAUCCUCCCACCUCAGCCUCCUGAGUAGCCGGAACUAUAGGUGCAUGCCACCAUGCCUGGCCACCUGCUGGAGUUUAAGCAGAUGGUAGGAUGGGUGGCUGGUCCCUAAAGACACUCAUCUUUUAAUCUUUGAAACCUGUGGAUAUGCUACCUUCUAGGGAAAAAAAGGACUUGGCAGAUGUUAGUAAGCGUCUUAAAAUGGAAAAGUUGUCCUAGACUACCUGAAUGGGCCCAAUGUCAUCGUGAGGUCCUUAUAAGAGGGAGGCAGGAGGGUCAGAGAAAAAGACAAAGACAAUGAUGUGAUGAUGGGGGCAGAGGUGUGGGUGUGUGAGAGAGGAGCAGAGGGGUUGAAGAUGCACCUCUGCUGCUGGCUUUGCAGAUAGAGGAAGGGGUUUUAAGCCAAAGAACGCAGGCAGCCUCUAGAAGCCCAAAAAGGACAUACAUUCUCCCCUAUGCCCUCCACAAGGAAAAGCAGCCCUGCUGGCCCAUUUCUGACUUCUGACCUCCAGAACAGUGAGAUGAUCUGUGCUAUGUAAAGCCACUCCGCUUGCGGGUGUAACUGGUGACAGCAGCAAUAGGAAAGCAUACAGGCUGCAAGGAUGAAAAUCCUCGAGAACAACUGCUAUCACAUUUAAUUAUUAUUAUUAUUAUUUUUAUUUUUUUGAGAUGGAGUUUCACUUUUGUCGCUCAGGCUGGAGUGCAAUGGCAAGAUCUCAACUCACUGCAACCUCUGCCUCCUGGGUUCAAGUGAUUCUUCUGCCUCAGCCUCUCAAGUAGCUGGGAUUACAGGUGCCCACUACCACACCCAGCUGAUUUUUGUAUUUUUAGUACAGACGGCGUUUCACCACGUUGGCCAGGCUGGUCUUGGACUCCUGACCUCAGGUUAUCCACCCACCUCGGCCUCCCGAAGUGUUGGGAUUACAGGCCAGAGCCACCACAUCUGGCCUGGUAUCACAUUUAAACAGGCAGUGAUGUGUGACCAGAAAUUAUACAUAUUUCUAGAGCUUUCACCCUUCAAACAGUAGUUCCCAAAGGCUGGUCUCCCACCAGCGGUGUCAGCACCUGGGAACACGUGGGUCAAAUCCUCAGGCUCCACCCAGGACUAUUGGGUCAGAAACUCCGGAGGCGGGGCCAGCACCCUGUGUUUGAACAGGUCCUUCUGUAAUUCUGAGGCAUGCUAAGGUUCACCUUAAAGAUAAGUGACUUGGGGCUGAGUUCAGUGGCUCACACCUGUAGUCCCAGCACUUUGGGAGGCUGCUAUAAUAGCUAUGAUUAUUAUACCUGCCCGGAUAUUAUCUUCUGUUUCCAAGCUUCACAUAUAGGGAUCCUAUACAAGAGUUCACCUACACAAAAGAUUCAAUCCAUCUUAGGUUCUGCUAAUGACCUCCCCUCCUGAGGUUCAUCAAAGCUGAAGCGGGAAGAAGGCUUGAGGACAGGAGUCUGAGACCAGCCUGGGCAACAUAGUGAGACCUUGUCUGUUAAAUCAAGUUUAGCCUAAAGUGGCCUCCUUACAUAUUUUAAGUUCAACCUAAAGGUUUCUCUGUACAUAGUGAACUAUAUACAACCUAAAUGGAGGUAUAAAUCCACUGUAACCUACUCUUGUGCCAAUCAGAGAGUUUUGGCCAAAGGGGGCCAACUGUUCAAACCGUGUUCAAAUAAGGCGAAUGCCAAGCUGUAGCCAAUCCAACUGUUUCUGUACCUCACUUCUGUUUUCUAUACGUUACUUUCUUUUUUCUGUCUAUAAAUCUUCCACUGCUUGGCUGCACUGGAGUCUCUCUGAGCUACUCUGGCUUGGGAGGCUACCUGAUUCGCAAAGCAUUCUUUGCUUAAUUAAACUUUGUUAAGCUUAAUUUGGCUAAGGUUUUUCUUUCAACAUGUCCUUGCAAAAACUUAAAAUAAAAAAAAUUAGCUGGGCAUGGUGGCAUGCCUGUAAUCCCAGCUAGCAGGGAGGCUGAGGUGUAAGGAUUGCUUGAGCUCAGGAGGUUGAGGCUGCAGUGAGCCAUGAUUACACCACUGCACUCCAGUCUGGGUGACAGAGUGAGACCCUAUCUCUACAAAAUAAAUACAUAAGUUAAAAGUGACCUGGGCUGCUGCUUUGCCAACAGAGGGUACCUGUGGAGCCUCUGAUGUGUAUGGGUAGUGUAUGUGUAUGUUGGCUGUGUGUGUACCCACUGACUCUACAAUUAAGCUGAUUCUUUUUUUUUGAGACGGAGUCUCGCUCUGUUGCCCAGGCUGGAGUGCAGUGACGUGAUCUUGGCUCACUGCCAGCUCCGCCUCCCGGGUUCAUGCCAUUCUCCUGCCUCAGCCUACCAAGUAGCUGGGACUACAGGCGCCCACCAACACGCCUGGCUAAUUUUUUGUAUUUUUUAGUAGAGACGGGGUUUCACUGUGUUAGCCAGGAUGGUCUCGAUCUCCUGACCUCGUAAUCUGCCCGCCUUAGCCUCCCAAAGUGCUGGGAUUACAGGCAUGAGCCACUGCACUCGUCCUAAGCUGAUUAUUUCAUGAUUCAUGCUUGACUUGGGAUCUGGGAAUGAUGGGGAAAGUUAUUCUCUCAAUGAUUGGCUCUGCCCCCUGGGGAAUGUGGGAGGAGGGAGAGUCCAGAAUUCGGCUUCCAAGUGGCCACAAGUCUGGCCUCCUUCACCCAGCCUAUGCCUGUGUCCACAGGACGAGAUCCAGGCUGACAGCCAUGCACUGCCACACCACUGUCCCAGACUGGGGCAAGCAGAAGGGGGCUGUUUCCUCUCAUCUUUCCCCAAUUUCUUGCUUGCCAGAGGCAAUCCUAACUUGGCUAGUGGAAAGAUAAUCACUUUUGAAAACAUGAGUGAGGUCAGCCCUUCCAGCCACAGCCUGGAGCUUGAAAUUACACAUUCAUUGAUUUCUUUUUUUUCUUUUUCUUUUCUUUCUUUCUUUUUUUUUUUUUUUUUGAGACAGAGUCUCGCUCUGUCGCCCAGGCUGGAGUGCAGUGGCGCAAUCUUGGCUCAUUGCAACCUCUGCCUCCCAGGUUCAAGUGAUUCUUGUGCCUCAGC
Molecule: long non-coding RNA, 28035 nt
Organism: Symphalangus syndactylus (siamang)
Lineage: Eukaryota; Metazoa; Chordata; Mammalia; Primates; Hylobatidae
Source: RefSeq, a predicted model, not a curated record